RNAcentral lists this transfer RNA (77 nucleotides) under bacterium. RNAcentral describes it as "tRNA-Pro". It matches the Rfam family "tRNA". Rfam says of the family: Transfer RNA (tRNA) molecules are approximately 80 nucleotides in length. The record is from RNAcentral.
CGGGGACUGGCUCAAUUGGCUAGAGCGCCCGCUUUGGGAGCGGGAGGUUCCGGGUUCAAGUCCCGGGUCCCCGACCA